CGGUAUCCACUCGAGCAGGAUCUGGAUCAUCUUCUCUUCACGGAUCUUCGCUCUAAAAAUCAGAUCUGGAUCUGAUCUGGAAGUUCUUCAAAAGACCUUCUGAAGCUGGAGCAGUGGCUUCUCGACAGAUUGCUGCAGCCUCCUGAUCAGGCCGCCACCACGUCUUGGAUUAGCACCAGAUGGAUGCUUAACUUCUUGGGCG
This 202-nucleotide long non-coding RNA is filed under the name Elaeis guineensis (African oil palm). RNAcentral describes it as "long non-coding RNA (EGUI_LNC043999)". Lineage: Eukaryota; Viridiplantae; Streptophyta; Magnoliopsida; Arecales; Arecaceae. The record is from RNAcentral.